UGGAAAUGGAACUGCUAUUUUGUUUUCAAUGUUUUUUUAUGAUAAAUAUAUGGAAUUCACUAUGGUUUUAUGUUCUACAUGUAAUUACAGUAGUAACUACUAAGUAGCUGUUUCCUUGCUCAUAGUAAAGUUAAAUAUAUUUUCCAUGAAGUAUCUAGGUGUAAUACCUAAGCAAACACCACUAGUGAUUAUGAUUUGUAUUUAAUUAAUUUCAAAAAUUUCUUUGCAGAAACUCAAUCCCUACUGGCUUGACCUACUCCAUUAAAGUUCUCUUUUGUUAAUAAGAUUUCGCCUCAUUAUUUCAUCGUUCAUAGUUUUAUGUGUUUUGAUUGAGCAAGGUCAAUCCAAUACUAGACCAAGUAAAAUGCUAGCAUUUACAUAACAAUGAAGAUAUUUCGAAUAAUGUGCAUGUAGUUAAAUUUGGGAUUUUCAAUAGGCGGUACAAGAUUGACCUAGUCAUAGAUAUUGGGGUAGUUAGUGUGAGGUGUAUACACUUUGAACGGUAGUUACAUAUUUUCAGUAAGCACUGAUGUGAGUAGGAGAAAUUUAAGGGUUUUAUUUUAUCUCUUUGAUGUAAGGAUAAGUUUGAAGAAAGAUUCUGUAACAAGCAUUGAGAACACCUUUCAUUUAUCCUAACAAUAUUAUCACUAACCAAAAAUUUAAAGAAUCCUAACAAAACCCAACUAACUCAUCCAUAAUCUCUGCACAAAUCCUAACUAAUCCCUCUCCACUAAUCUCCUCACUAAAGCCCAACUCCCACACACCUUUCCUUUAUUUUAACAAACCCUCUCCCCUAAUCCCUCUCCCCUAACUGAAAUCUUAUUGGUUGCUAUGUAGAUUCUAUUAGUUUAGCUAUAUGAAAGGAUAAAAUAAAGUCUAUAGUACAGUGAUUUUUCCUCUCCAAGAAUCACGUUUACAUCCGAUGAUAUAGUUAAUAGCUAUGAUCCAAUUAUAUGUGUAGGUCACAUGCUCUUUCGCCAUUCAUUUGCAUCUAAUGUUGUAUUGCAUCAACUUAACCUUGAAAAGCCACUGGAGAGCAAAGAACCAAACCAAUAUAUAUUUUAGUAGCUUGUUUCUGACACUAUUAUUAGUUUGUCAUGCAUGAAGAUCCUAAGAACUAGACAGUUGUUUCUAAGUAAUCCUUUGUGCAUGAUGUGCUAAUUCUUUAUUACUCAUUUUGUGUCAUUCACUUUGGUAUGUAUUAGGAUGACAAAGAAAGGGAAACAAAUUGCAUCUCAGUUGAGAUCACAUGUUGUUUGGAAUCGUGAUAUGGACUCAGCUUUAGCUAAUCGUGAUAUGCACACUUAUAGUUGUGAUUUGCCUUCGUAGUAGAUAUCAUUUCUGUUUUAGAGCGUAUUUUGUUUCAUGAACUAAUUGAUGCC
Long non-coding RNA from Asparagus officinalis (garden asparagus), 1382 nucleotides. RefSeq lists it as uncharacterized. The record is from RefSeq and is a predicted model, not a curated record. Lineage: Eukaryota; Viridiplantae; Streptophyta; Magnoliopsida; Asparagales; Asparagaceae. The transcript has 3 exons.